RNAcentral lists this long non-coding RNA (2717 nucleotides) under Ovis aries (sheep). RNAcentral's name for it is "lncRNA (ENSOARG00000026614.1)". Lineage: Eukaryota; Metazoa; Chordata; Mammalia; Artiodactyla; Bovidae. The record is from RNAcentral.
AUGGAGGAAGAGCGGCCUCUUCUGGAAGAGGGGUCCUGUGUGGACAGAGGGUGCCAUGUGGGAGAGCAGGGCAGACCUGGGGCCGGGGCGCAGCAGGGAGACCUGUUGGAGCUGACCCAGAGGAGAGAGCCAAGGAGGAGUAGCCACGUCUCAAAGGUGCGGAGGCUGGAGACCGGCAGCCAUCAAGGAGGGGACUCUGAGGGUCGACCUCACCUAGAAACAGCUGCUUCAUUCCCUUGCUUCCUUCACAGGCCAGCCGAGGAGCAUCAGACAAAACCUCCUCCACCGCAUCGCACGGGUCUCCAGCCUUCCAAACAUGAUGGGUCUGCCCGAACAGCCCCUCCUUCCUUUCCCAUUCAGCCAAGCCCACAGUCUCCAUUUUGUUUCUCAUCGCGUCCACCUCUGGCCACCAAAGUCUGCUUCAGCCAGGAUUCCAUUCAGCGGCUCCUAACAGCAGCCCCCUUUGCACAGUCAGAGCCCCGGGCAGGGCUGGGUCUGCACUGGACACUGACCAUCCCCACUGGUGCCCCCAGUCACUGGGGACCCUCCCAGGGAGGAGGACGGGCCCUUGGAAGGGCCCCAGCGGGAGGGUGUGGGGGGGUGGACUUUCCACUUUCACCAGGGGGUGAGGUUUCAAAAACCACAUCGGGGGACUGACCCCCUAGACUCCCCAUCAAGGGAGGAGGUGGCUGGCUUUCAAUUCCCCACCGCUGCUCAGGACAGGCCUCUGCACCCGAGGCCACGACCCUGAGGGACAGCCCACAUUCAAGGAUGGUCCAGGCUGCAGCAGAAGGUCCUGACGCUUCUCAGCUCGAAAGGGCCUUCGAGCUCUAGAGCCCUCUGCCAAGCUGAACGGGGCUGCCCUGGGCCUGGGCUCCGCUGAACAACUUCUGCCGAAUCCUGCUCCCCUCCACUCCCUUUCCUGGGGCUUGGUUUCCAGAGGCACCCCGGAUACAGCCCCAGCUCAUUGGUGCCACCUCGGGUCAGCUUCCCAGGGGGCCCAGCCUGGGACUCCAAGAUGUAGCUCAUGCAUCCCUGGAGAGUGCUGGAUGCUCUCAGGGACGACUCCGGAGGAACAGCCAAGACCCGAAGGCAGACAGGGGGGAGCACGAGGGCCGCCCCAGGGUCCAGAGCGGUGAAGACCCCCCAGUGUCCAGGGAGGACAGGUCCCGGGGCCCAGGGUGCAGCCGGGGGAGAGGACGGGACGGGUGGCCGGGGNNNNNNNNNNNNNNNNNNNNNNNNNNNNNNNNNNNNNNNNNNNNNNNNNNNNNNNNNNNNNNNNNNNNNNNNNNNNNNNNNNNNNNNNNNNNNNNNNNNNGCCCCGCCCACCCGCGGCUGCUGGGGCAGCCCUCCAAACCCGGAGAAUCGGGACAACCCUGUCCGCAUGCAGGAAGGAGACACACAGGCCGGCUGCCCAGGAGGCGGUGCUGGACACGGCAUUUCGGUCAUCAGGUGUCUGAACAGCCAUGCCAUCUGGAGAGACGUGGCAAACCAUCACCCCCACCUGCUUGGACCCCAGCCCCUGGGCUGUAGGAGCCCCUUGGCCGCCUGAGGUCCUAGGAGCCUGUGAACACAGCCGUCGCAUUACAAAUGCCCAAACCCCCGUCUCUGUGUAGCCGCCGUGUCCUGAAUCCAGGAGACUCUGCCGGGGGACCGAGACCGCAGCAUGCUCGGGCAGCAGAGCAGGGGUGGCAAAGGCUUGGCCCCUCCAGCUGGGGCAGAAGAUAGGCAGCUGAGAGGGGCUUCAGGGUCACCGUGGAGGCGAGGGGGCCCUCAAGGGCUCAGAGGAGCUGAACUUGGAGGUGGAGGCUGGGAACAGGGGCGUGGGGGAGGCUGGUCUCUCCUGAGUUCACCCUGGGAUGCUCCAUCAGGGCCGGCAGGGCCAGAGGAACAGAGCAGAAUGCCUCCCGCCAAGAGCCAGGGAGACAUGGGGAGGCAACUCCUGCCUCGGCCUCUCCACUGUUUUCUUAUCUCCAUUCCUUAGAACAAGCUGUGUCCCCCACUGUGAGGCUUUGGAAGGCUCGCUCUCCCACCACCCUUUCUUAGAUAAUAAGCAGGCUAGAUAAGCACCAAUCCAGGGCUCCUCAGGAAGUCCCAGAACUUGUUCAGGGGCCCAGACUCUUUCUGUCUCUAGGAUCCCAGGCGUAUGUUCUCUCCUGAUGGUCACAGGAUGGCUGCCAGGACACCAGGCAUCAAGUCGCCAUUCCAGGCAGGAGGGAAGAGAACAGGCUAAGUAACAAAAGAUGUUCCCAAAGCCCCACCCAGGAAUUCCACUCACAUUCUCAUGGCCAGCCCUGAGUCACGUGGCGACCACAUGGCAACCAAGCCUGAGAGGUCUGCAUUUUAUCCAGACAUGAUGCGCACCCCCUCCAACACAAAACCAGGGUUCUGCCUGAUGUAAAGAGAGAAGGGAAUAUUGGGUAGGGGACUCAGCCUCUUCUAACUGUGGAGGUGGGGUGGGAAGGCUCGGAAUGGAGGUGGGAGCCCAGGGAGGGGGCCAGGCAAUGGCCCAGACAACAGCUGGGAAGACCUCGGGGAUGGAGCAGGGGGAGCGGACAGUAUGCCCCACAGCAGGGCCGCCCCACAUGGAGGCCAUGGGAGGAACGGGCUGGAGAGGUCGAGGCCGUGAGCAGGUUCCCCCGCACCCCGUGACCUUGCGAAGCUGGGUGUGUGGGGCCAUCCGCACACCCCCACCCCCUUCCCCGGCCCCCCUCCUC